RNAcentral lists this ribosomal RNA (496 nucleotides) under uncultured bacterium. Its description in RNAcentral is "partial 16S ribosomal RNA". It matches the Rfam family "Bacterial small subunit ribosomal RNA", at positions 28 to 507 of the family's 1533-position model. The record is from RNAcentral.
GAUGAACGCUGGCGGCGUGCCUAAUACAUGCAAGUCGAGCGAACGGACGAGAAGCUUGCUUCUCUGAUGUUAGCGGCGGACGGGUGAGUAACACGUGGAUAACCUACCUAUAAGACUGGGAUAACUUCGGGAAACCGGAGCUAAUACCGGAUGAUAUUUUGAACCGCAUGGUUCAAAAGUGAAAGACGGUCUUGCUGUCACUUAUAGAUGGAUCCGCGCUGCAUUAGCUAGUUGGUAAGGUAACGGCUUACCAAGGCAACGAUGCAUAGCCGACCUGAGAGGGGGACCGGCAAAACGGGAACGGGGAAAGGUCCAAGACCCUAAGGGAAGGAAGAGUUAGGAAAUUUGCAGAAAGGGGGGAAGGCUUAACGAGCAACGCCGCGUGAGUGAUGAAGGUCUUCGGAUCGUAAAACUCUGUUAUUAGGGAAGAACAUAUGUGUAAGUAACUGUGCACAUCUUGACGGUACCUAAUCAGAAAGCCACGGCUAACUACGUG